GAUGAACGCUAGCGGCAGGCCUAAUACAUGCAAGUCGAGGGAGAAGUUAGGUGCUUGCACUUGAUGGGAACCGGCGAACGGGUGCGUAACACGUAUGCAACCUACCUAUAACUGGGGGAUAGCCCGAAGAAAUUCGGAUUAAUACCCUAUAAUAUUUAGUCAUCGCAUGAUGAUUAUCUUAAAACUCCGGUGGUUAUAGAUGGGCAUGCGGCCUAUUAGUUUGUUGGUGAGGUAAUGGCUCACCAAGACUACGAUAGGUAGGGGGUCUGAGAGGAUGAUCCCCCACACUGGUACUGAGACACGGACCAG
This 309-nucleotide ribosomal RNA is filed under the name uncultured bacterium. Its description in RNAcentral is "bacterial SSU rRNA". It matches the Rfam family "Bacterial small subunit ribosomal RNA", at positions 28 to 334 of the family's 1533-position model. The record is from RNAcentral.